GGCUCAGGAUGAACGCUAGCGGCAGGCUUAACACAUGCAAGUCGAGGGGCAUCGGGAGUAGCAAUACUGCCGGCGACCGGCGCAAGGGUGCGUAACGCGUGAGCAACAUGCCCGUAUCAGGGGGAUAAUCCAUGGAAACGUGGUCUAAUACCCCAUAGUAAUUAUGUAAGGCAUCUUAUAUAAUUUAAAGCUUUGGUGGAUACGGAUUGGCUCGCGUGACAUUAGCUAGAUGGUAAGGUAACGGCUUACCAUGGCUACGAUGUCUAGGGGUUCUGAGAGGAAGGUCCCCCCACACUGGAACUGAGACACGGUCCAGACUCCUACGGGAGGCAGCAGUGAGGAAUAUUGGACAAUGGAUGGAAAUCUGAUCCAGCCAUGCCGCGUGCAGGAAAGACGGCCCUAUGGGUUGUAAACUGCUUUUGUAUGGGAGCAAUAAGGGCUACGUGUAGUCCGAUGAGAGUACCAUACGAAUAAGCACCGGCUAACUCCGUGCCAGCAGCCGC
Molecule: ribosomal RNA, 503 nt
Filed under: uncultured bacterium
Lineage: Bacteria
Description: bacterial SSU rRNA
Rfam family: Bacterial small subunit ribosomal RNA
Source: RNAcentral